CCUUUCCUGUUCGCUCCGGGAUUAGCUGCUGGAUUAGCUCCUGGAUUAGCUGCUGGAUUAGCUCUUCGAUUAACAACUUGCUGGAGGCUAUUCAAAUUAGCCACACCGUGGGAUGUAAGGAGCUCUCUGAUUGGUUGGUCAGACACAGGCUGUCUGCCAGGCUGGAUUUUUCUAGCUCAUAGCUUCUCCCUGCUACGAAGCGUGUGUGCUUGUACAAAGGCCGUUCAGCGUCGGGAUUUACACUCGGCUCGACACGGAUAUGUGAAGAAUGAAGGGACCCUGCAGCGAAACGGAGAGCCAACCUCUGACUGAGUGCCUGUCUCACACAGUCUGACCACCUGUUGAAGGGCUGUUUGAUGACGAUUUGGACUCCUCUGGGAGAUGAGGACACACCCACAUCUGUUCCAUACUGCAGCCAUUGAUGGUGUUACAGCUCUGAGUCAGCUUUGGGCCAUCAGAUGCACACACUGGAAAACCAGCACCUGGACUUCAUGCAGGAGAGACUGCCUCAGUGAUAAUUCAUCAGCAGCUGUGGAGAGAUGCAUUUGAAUAUCUACUGGUUCCACUUUUCCUUACCUGGAAGCUGAGUAUUGCUGAUUUCUGACAAGGACACAAACCUCAGUGCUUAUCAUGGGUGUUACAUCCUCUGUGCAGCAAUUCCAGAGAAAACAAGAGAGCAACGACCACUCAUUAAGACCAGACAGAAAUCUGUCCCUUUCUG
Oreochromis aureus is the source of this 721-nucleotide long non-coding RNA. The record is from Ensembl. Lineage: Eukaryota; Metazoa; Chordata; Actinopteri; Cichliformes; Cichlidae.